This 184-nucleotide unclassified non-coding RNA is filed under the name plant metagenome. RNAcentral describes it as "partial contains small subunit ribosomal RNA and internal transcribed spacer 1". The stretch from base 1 to 46 matches the Rfam family "Eukaryotic small subunit ribosomal RNA", at positions 1786 to 1831 of the family's 1831-position model. The record is from RNAcentral.
AAGUCGUAACAAGGUUUCCGUAGGUGAACCUGCGGAAGGAUCAUUAAAGAAUAUCGAGCUUCACAGCUCUUAUUCUCACCCUUUGUAUAUCAAACUUUGUUGCUUUGGCAGCGCCUUUAGGGCCCGCCAGAGGACCUCAAACCCUGAAUAUUCGUGUCGUCUGAGUACCAUAUAAUAGUUAAAA